UUACGGCUAUAUCACAUUGAAACACCAGUUCUCAUAUGAUCACCAAAGUUAAGCUAUGUCAAGCCUGGUCAGUACCUAGAUUGGUGACCGCUUGGGAAUAGCAAGUGCUGUAAG
This is a non-coding RNA of Acanthosepion pharaonis, 114 nucleotides long. NCBI's taxonomy places the organism in Eukaryota, Metazoa, Mollusca, Cephalopoda, Sepiida, Sepiidae. The record is from the annotation of a GenBank genome assembly.